UGGAGGGAGGGAGAGGUAAGGGCGUUGUGGGUCUUAGUAAGGACCCCAUACAAUAACAAUAGCUACUGUUACCUUCUGGCACUUCACUUACUUCAUUACAACCAAUUCAUAAUCACCCAUUUUACAGAUAAGAAUACUGAGACAUAGAGGCUUUAAUGAAUCGUAUCUAACGUCAUGCAGCUUGCAGAUGGUGAAACCGAGACUUCAACCCUGAUGUUUUGGUGCAGAACCCACAGUUGUCCUUAACUGCACUCACCUGAGGGGAAGCCCCUUGGCCACCGCAAAGCUGUCCCUAUCCCUCCAAACUCUUCAUCCCCACCGCACUCACAAUCACUCAGGAAUAAAGACCAGCUUUGUCAUUUGCAGUCGCAGUUUUCACCAAGCCAGUAACGGCACUGGGGGAGGCCUCUGCUGCUUUUGUGGCUUGGUUCCAGUGCUGAAUGGGGGUAGUUAUAGGAUGGCUUAGAAAUAGUCACUCUGCGUGUAAUCAGGUCACUUCACUGCAAAAACAUUUUUGUUUCCGCUUCCUUCCUUUUCUGGAUCUUAUCCAGGGAACAGUGUCUCUGACCUUCUAAGCCACAAAGGCCAGAGAUAAUGGGGCACAGCAGGUUGAUGUCGUGAAAGGAGGGGAGAGUCCGUGGUCAGGAUGAGUGUGUGGGCACACACACACACACACACGCGUGGGGAGACAGUCACUACCCAGGGUGUACGUCAUAACGUAUGCUUAGAAAAAUACUGCUAAGAAAUACACAGAAACUUUCCUAGUGUCGAAUUCUCUUUUGUGUGUCUGAGAUCUCCCUUCGGGCUCAGAGUAGAGUGGAGGAGACGGGCAUUCACUCUGGGCAAGUACAAAGAAAAGCACGUGAAAUUCCUCCCCUUCUUGUCCUCAUCCUCAUCCUUGCAGCUCACAUCCAGCGCCGGCCUGGGCUUCUGUGGUCUGUGUUGACUCUGAUUGCCUUGCCAGAUGUAUCGGCAGUGUUGAGACUGGAUUGGUUUACAAUUUCUUUCAAAUCUGCUUAAGAAUGAGAGAGACCUUUUUCUAUAGGGGAAACAUAAUGUGUUCUACUUGAUUAGGGCUGGAGGUAAAAAAUAAAAGCUAUAUGGAAAAUUCAAAGGAUUUAGGUUUUUAUUCUAAAUUUUAAAACUUACCCAUAAGAGAUUCGAUGGAAAAUAAUGAGCCCUAAAAAAAUAUUUUCCAGAAUCAAUCAUGAUUUUUUCAUGCACAUAAUGUUGGUUUAAGGCUUGGGAAUCAAGAGAAAAAUGCAGAAGGAAUGUCAUAUGUUUUGCUUUACAACUUUCUCUCCUAUUGUUUGCGUUUCACACUUUCACACUCAAAUCUCUCUUCCAUUAUUCUUUGACUUUUAUAAAUCUACUGAACAUAAAUUCUGUUUAAUUAUAGCAUGGUUCACGUGUACUAGAGAGUUAUGUUAAUAAUGAAAAUGCUGUUGAUUAGUAAUCAAAGACAGAUUUCGUAAACAGAGAAAAGGAGGCGAGGAAAGGUUUGGGGUUCAGGAAGGAAAGCCUAACUUCCUUCCUCACCAUUCUCCCACAGCUGCAAGGUUUUCCAGGUUACUGUGGCCAGGUCGCAGCCCUGUCUAUGCAGUGAUGUGGGUGUUGUGCUCUCUCUUUUUUCUGGUAACAAUUUUCCCUCCCUCCGUGGCCCCUGUGGACACUGAUGUUUGUGUCUCAGUUGGCCCUGGGGUGUGGUGGUGCUGCUGUGAGGAGCACUGGUCACAGCUGGCCUGCAUCCUCAGCAGGUCCCCAGGGGGACUUUAGGCAAACCACUUAACCUCUCUGAGCCUCAGUGUUCUUACAAAAAGAAGAUGCAGUAACAGCCCCAAAGGGUGGUUAGAAUUAUUUUAAAUAUCUCAUGUAAAAUGCCCAGUGUACAUCAGGUGUCCUGCCAUCAGAGGGACUCAAUGAUUUUGAUUAUUAUUAUAAUUUUAAAUCUUGACUGUUGAUACGAAGUGAGAAACAAAUGAAGUCAAGGCCCCAGGGCACUGCGUUUGAGGCUGUCGGGGCUUGAUGUGGUUCCAGGUGUGGCAGGAGUGCUGGGGAUGAGCGGGUACCAGGCUCCAGCCUGCCCUCCCCUUGCCCCAUCUUGGCACUGUGACGGCUGGCAGCUGGGUUCCCAAUCAGGCACUGAGAGGCCAUGUGUUCCUUUGUCAUAGGGCAUGUCCACCUCUGGUGUGUGUUUAGCCCCAGGCAAAUCUUGAACUAAGUCUCAGUGUCCCGGGAAAAAGAGCACUGGACUCAGAAGUAGAAGAAAUGGGGCCGAGUGUGGUGGCUCACGCCUGCAAUCCCAGCACUUUGGUAGGCCGAGGCAGGUGGAUCACCUGAGGUAGGAGUUCGAGACCAGCCUGACAAACAUGGUGAAAUCCUGUCUCUACGAAAAAUACUAAAAUUAGCCCGGCGUGGUGGCACAUGCCUGUAGUCCCAGCUACUCGGGCCCCUGAGGCAGGAGAAUCGCUUGAACACGGGAGGUGGAGGUUAGAGUGAGCCGAGAUAGCACCACUGCACUCCAGCCUGGGUGACAGAGUAAGACUCUGUCUCACAACAAAACAAAACAAAACAAAAGAUAUAGAAGAAAUGGGCCCUAGUCCCAUUCACAAGUCACCUUGGGUGAGCCGUUUCAGAGCAUGGGUUCCUCUGAUAGAAAGUUUACAUUUUCAUAUACGUCUUGUGGUUUCUGAAGGGAAGUUAAAUGAGAGAAUAUGUAUGUGAAAAUACUUUGCCUACUCAAAUAAUAAUAUCAGUGAUCAUAGAGGUUUUUGUUUUUUUUUCUCCCCAGGGCUCAGUAUUCCCCUACUAUCUGCUUACUGCCUUUCCAGAUCCUCCCUUAAAAUGCUUUGCUCAAACCUGUUACAUCUUCAAGUUUUUUCAGCUUUCUUGUCGCAGGCUCCAUUCCUAAUUCAUGCACAUAAUCUGCCAUGUGCAGACACAGGCACAUACUCAUUCAACUUGUCCCAUAAUCUUUAGGGUCUUGCUCCCUGUUACUUAGCCUGAAGAGUAGCCUGACAAUAUUUUCAGAGCUACUGAUGGGUUGAUGUAACCCAAGAUUGCCUGUGGUAGAGAAUACUGCAGACUAGGGUUUGGCCAAUUUUUUUUCAGUCAGGGGCCAGGUGGCUAGGACAGAGUUUUGGAGCAGAUGAGGGUUUUGACGCCCCCUCUCUUCCGCCCUUCCAUGACUGAGUGUCUCAACCUGGAGGUGCGGGUGGGGCUGUGUAGAGGCUCCCUGAGGAACGCAGGAGGUUGUUGAGCUGUUGAUUGGCCUGAGGUGGCUUGAAGGAUGGAAAUUUACAAGUCGGCCAAGAGCCUUCUCUCUGCCAAGGACUGAUUCAGAGUUCAGGGAUUAAGCCUCUGGCAUGGGGAUUAAAUUGGGAUCUCACAUGCACAGAUCCCACGGGCACCAGAUGCUGGGCUGGGUCUGGCACACGCACUGUUGGCUCUGAGAAGCUCCUCAACCCCUUGUGGGCAUCAAAGUAAAGAAAGAAGUGAGUGGUCCCCCUUUUCUGCAUUUAGCCUUGAUCUGAGAUGAGAACAUUCAUUGGAAACAACCAAGGAGCAUGAAGGAAUUUCUUCCCGAGGCCAAGAGUGAUGAAACGGCUGAGUGUUAAAUUUUCAGUAGGGAUACAGAGAAACAUGGGCACAAAACUCAGUUUCAUCCCCACGGCUCUGUUCCACUGGCUCUAUCACGCUGCUUCUUGUGGGCCUGGAAAAUGUUCCCCACUUUCCGAAGAGCUGUGUCUUUGCUCAACAUCCACAUCCCAGCAAACGGGAUCCAUUUCAAAAGAGGCUUUUGAUUACUCAUUGUCAUUUUUGAACCUCUUGUUGCUGUCAGUCAUCAGUAAACAGUGCUCUUAGGAAAGCCCUAAGUAGGAGAGGUUGAAGACGAUGCUGUGGGCUGGCACAGCUUUUUGUUUUGCACAUGCGGAAAUUGAGACUGGGAGUGGAAUGUGAGCAGUUCAGAGUUAAACAACUAAUUCGAAGUGAGUUGAGAACUGGAGUCCAGUCCUCUGGGCUUCUGUUCCAGUGUUCAUGAGACAGAACAAAACUGCUGCUCUGUAAUGAUAAGGGUCAUGGGGUUACAGGCACCAGUGGUUGAUGUGAAACUGUAUCACAGAAAGAAAAAGAAUUUAUUUUUGCUUUUUGACCUUGAGAGGUAAAGAAGUUUUCCCCACCUCUUGUAGAUCUAACCUCAUCAAAUCAUACAAAAAUCAAUUUUUGUUUACUUGCAUGGAGAUUAUCUUUUCGUACUCAUGUAUCAGUCAGCAUAGGCUGAGUUACAUUGUGGUAACAAAUGACCCCCAAAGCUUAGUGAUUUUCAAACACAAAGUUGGAUUUUUCACUCCUGCUAUAUGUGUGUUGGAAGUUGCUGAGUUUCUGCUGCUUAUCUCUUUACUCUAGGACUGAGGUGGACAGAACUCUCUCAAUUUCAGGGUUGGGAAAUUGUGAGCUGUGGCAGAAUCUGGCCUGCUAUUGUCUUUGUUAAUCAGGUUUUAUUGAAAGAUAGACAUGGUUAUUUGUUUAUGUACCGUUUUCACACCACCACAACAGGAUUAAGUUGUCAUAAUAGAGGCAGUAUGGCCCACAAUGAAGAUAAUCUUUACUUUCUGACCUUUUACAGAGCAAAUUGGCUGAUCCCUGGUGUAUCUGAAACAUGGUGAUCUGUGGCAGAAGGAAACGAGACAGAGCAAACUGUAGGCUGGUUCUCAAAACUUCUGCCCAGAAGUGACACAUGGUCAUUUCUACUCCCAUUUCUUGCACUAAAGCAAGACAUGUGACAUGUGGCCCCUCUUGAUGCCAACAAAAAAGGGGCAGGAAAUCAGCUGAUUCCAACAUAAUUUGUAUUUUAUUUGUAUCUGUGUCUGUAUUCUUGGUUGCAAACAACAGAAGUGUACUGUGUUUAAUUUAAAGAGAAGGAAUAUUAAUGUAAAGGUUAUCAGGGAAUCAUGCACUUGAGAGGAAGGCUGAAGAAGGGGCCUCUGUGGGGUGCAAGGACACAGAGCCACAGUCCCACUGGAGGGACGGCCUCCGUAAGCUUGCCCUCUGGCAUUGCCAGCAGUGGCCCUUCUCCACAGCACUGCUUGUAUCUCUGAGGCCACUGUGAGUAACUUUAAUUGAACUUUAGCCUGGAUGUUACUCCUUCAAGAUUCAAAGUGCUGGGUGGGUACUGUUUGUCGACCACCUUUAAAGCAUGUGGCCAUGUCCUAGCUGCUGGGAGGGUUGGGGAGAUGAAUAGCAAGACUUUUUCAUCUUGGUAGGAGGAAGGGGCCCUGCUUUCCCUAGAGACUUAUGAGUGGAGGAAUCUCAUCAACAUAAGAGGCCACGCUAAGAAGCCUGGGAAGCCUAGGAAGCCCUGUCGUUGUUCACGCGAAUGGUCAAUUGCUUGCAGUUGGAAGCUGAGUGGGAAGUCUGGCAAACGUCGGUAUUGCUUGUGCUUCAACUUCUUAAGUGACAUUUUCCUACAGGACGCCUUCAGCAGGGAGCCUGGAAGGAUCAGAAGAAGAUGGGAGAACUUCCUUCCUGCUGGUCACUUAGGAGCCAGAAUGACCUUUGUUACCUGGACUUUUCCUUUUCUCCUCCUCAUCAUUGUUCCAUCCCCACUAAGACCUUCAUUAUUUUGGAAAUAUUAAGUUAGAAAUCUAGUCAUGGCCAGCAUGAGAGAGGGACAGGGAUGCAUACAGGAAUCAAACUGAAUACAUUUUGUGUUUUCAUUCCCCGUAGGUACUUCUGCUGGUGUCAAUCAUUGGGACUGGAUUAUGUCUAAGCAUCUUCAACCUCACAGGGAGGAGCUUGACCGGAGAAAGAGGCUGAGAACUGCUUCUCUUACCAAGGACCUUCCCCAAGCCAGGCAUCUCCGGAGAUGGUAUGGAGCCUGGGGUAGCUCGGCCAGGCCUUUGAUCACCAGCGAUGCCAUUGCUCUUCCCCGUUUCGCGUCUGCUGUGGCUUGCUGCUGAGGCUGCUUUCAGACCUCUGGAAUCAGAAAAGGAGGUGACUAUAUCAGCCCUUGGGGAUCCUGUAAUGAGAAUCAUGUGUAAACGGAACGUUGACGAAGCCACACCUGGGGCACAUUGGACCCACGACAGACACUGAUGUGGGAAAAGAGCCGGUACCUUUUGAACCUGACCCAUUUUAUGAGAAGAUGCAUAUCAAAACAAACAAACAAAGCAACAACAAGAACACUGUGGAGUCUAAGAUUGAGGUGUGGUGUCUUGAACAAAAGACAAAAGACUCAGCCACGCUUAUGCUAAGAAGGAGAGCCAGGGAAAGAAAAUGCUGCAGUCGCAGUCAGAAGGAAAAGACUGUUUCACUUUGGCUUCAUGUGCAUCCCCCAGAGGGACUAUCAUGUUACUUUCAAAAUGACUGCAUAGCAGAUGAAAAAUGAUUCUCAUCUGCCUAUGGCUGCUGGGAGGUGGAGUGCAGUGCGGGACUCCUAUGGGGAUAUUUGUGGCUCCUCACGUCUCCUGGACCCAGGGUACCAGGACAGUGGACAUAAGGGACAAUAAAGCUUAUUUGAACAAAAAUACCAUCUUCAGAUUCUGCAUUCAUCACACAUUUUGUUCUCUUUGCUACUAGGAUGUGGCAAUGCAAAAAUAAUGUCCUGCUGGUCCUUCCAAGGAUACCAGAGUUCUAGAUUUUAUUCUGUCUCAAAUGUGGAGCCACUGGAGACUUCCCCAUUCAAACACCGUCCUUACCUUGGCAGAAGGAGCCCUUUAUGAUGACGUGUUUUCUUCUUUUCACACGCUUUCCCACCCUCAUACCUGGGCCCAGUUUACCAAAUGAAUUCAGUUCAAUAAAU
Molecule: long non-coding RNA, 6802 nt
Filed under: Homo sapiens (human)
Lineage: Eukaryota; Metazoa; Chordata; Mammalia; Primates; Hominidae
Description: PREDICTED lncRNA (TCONS_00265978)
Source: RNAcentral